AUAAGUAUCUUGGACAAGGUCACAAAGCUGGUGGUGGAGUUUGGAUUUGAAACCUGGUGAUAUGGCUGUGGAGCCUGUGUUAUUAUCUUGUAAUCAGUAGCACGAAGCAGAAGACCUGGUUCCUGCCCUCAAAUAGCCUGUUGUCUAGUUGCAGUGACAAGUCUCAAACACAUGUAAAGAUAUAUAAUGUAUAUUUUUUAAGAUUGUAGACAGUAAAUAAAUGCUGUAAGUAGAAAUAUUCAUCUAUUUAUUUGCCUAGGUUGACUAGCAAGGCAAUCCUGACUGGCAUAAUCAGGAUUCUAGACUCUGGCCAUAUUGUUGUGUAAUAUUGAACAUCUGGGAUGGGCUGUGCACUGUGCAUUUGCACCCUCCAUGAGUAAGAUUUAAAGAAACACCAUUCUUUUAGUCAUUACCUUUUAAAAAACACUUUUAACCAUGUACAGGUAGUUAUAUUGAAUAGUUUAUUAAAAUUGUCUCACUUAUUUCUGAAAUCUAUUUAAAUAAAAAUGUGGGAAAGCUCAAGAGUGAGUACACUUUACAACCUGGCUGCCUUUUUCAGAUUUCUACUUGCAUUACUGUUUGGAAGUUGUUCUUCAUAUUCCAUGGGAGAUGAUGGGGAGUGGAAAGAUAAGAAGGGAGCAGUGACAUUCAUUCAAUUCCUGUAAAUGACUUUUAUUAACAUUGUUCUGAUGCUUCAGGUUUGUGCUCAGAAACAGGGUGUGUCAUUCAUUACAUAGCAUGCUGUCAUGUCCAGUCUGCUGCCUCAUGACUUCUCUGAGUAAAACUGACUCAGUCAGUGGUUUGAGGCUUGGCCUUCAGCACAAGAGAAGCAAACACCCACUUAUAGCAGCUAGAUUAAUACUGUCUUUCUUUCUGAAAUACUUAAGGAGACCGAUGAUUAACAGCAAAAACAAUAGCCAACGCCAUAGACAUUUCAGCUGGUUCAUUUUACACAAUUCUGACUCUGCUCAGUGGGUGCCAAAACUGUUGCUCCCAGAUCAAUUGCAGACAAGAGCAGAGCUUUCACUGGAAAUUUCAAACAGGUGGGAUCAACAUUCUGAAGGAUUUCUUUGAAGAAUUUUAACAAUAAAUGAACAUGGUUUUACCAGUACAUCCUGAAGACAAAGUACAAUCAAAUCACUGGCUACCAAGAGUUGGAAGUGAGAGCAGAAGCAGACUGAUCAAGAACAAAGGUCAUGGCAACACUUUUUUUGGGAUACGCAAGGCAUUUUGCUCGUUGACUUUUGGGAGGGCCAAUGAAUGCCAACAUCUGCUUAUUGUAAGAGUAUUUUAAGAAAGUUAGCUAAAGCUUGAGCAGAAAAAUGCCUAGGAAAGCUUCACCAGAGAGUCCUUCUCCACCAUGAUAGUGCUCUUGCUCAUUCUUCUCAUCAAACAAGGUCAAUUUUGGGAUAGUUUUGAUGCACAUUUAUUAGGCAUCCACCCUACAGUCCUGAUUUGGCUCCUUCUGACUUUUUUAUUUCUUAAUCUUAAAACGUCUAUAAAGCGUAUCCAUUUUUCUUCAGUUAAAAAUGUAAAAAAGACUGCAUUGACAUGGUUAAUGCAGGACCCUCAGUUCUUUAAGGAUGGACUAAAUAUGUGUUAUUAUUGCCUACAGGUGUCUUGACCUUGAUGGAGCUUAUGUUGAGAAAUAAAGUUUAUACUUUCUAUUUUCAUCUAAUUCCAUUUUUUCCACAAACUUUUUGGAGUCCCCUUGUAUUUCCAGAAUACUUGUGAAUGGCUUUUUCAAAUUAAUUUGGCCUAAAUAUUAUCCCAAUUUAUUAACCUUAAUUGGAGAAUGUUGAAAAUCUUGUCUCUUCAUAAAAAAAAAAAAAAAAAAAAGCCAUUUCCGAAUACGUAGUAGCUGAAUUCCUAAGGCUAAACUGAGAAAUUCUGUAGUUUAACUACUUGAUUUACCUAUUAUAGCAAUUAUAUAAAGUAUAGAAAAGAAAUAGCAUUUUACAUAUACUAUUGUAUUAGUCCAUUUUCAUGCUGCUGAUAAAGACAUACCUGAGACUGGGCAAUUUACAAAAUAAAGAGGUUUAAUUGGACUUACAGUUCCAUGUGGCUGGGGAAGCCUCACAAUAAUGGUGGAAGGCAAGGAGGAGCAAGUCCCAUCUUACAUGGAUGGCAGUAGGCAAAGAGAGAAUGAGGAGGAUGCAAAAGUGGAAACCCCUGAUAAAACCAUCAGGUCUCAUGAGACGUAUUCACUAACACGAGAACAGUAUGGGGAAACUGCCCCCAUGAUUCAGUUAUCUCCCACCAGGUCCCUCCCACAACAUGUGGGAAUUAUGGGAGUUCAAUUCAAGAUGAGAUUUGGGUGGGGACACAGAGACAAACCAUAUCAACCGUAUGAACUCUUUGGG
Molecule: long non-coding RNA, 2363 nt
Filed under: Homo sapiens (human)
Lineage: Eukaryota; Metazoa; Chordata; Mammalia; Primates; Hominidae
Source: RNAcentral